AGACAGCUGACCAUGGAAGCGAAUGGGUUGGGCCUCCAGCGUAGCAUACUGACACCUACCCCCACCCCCACCUGAUCGCCAGACCUCAGGGUUUUCCGGAGCUGAAGAAUGACACAUUCCUGCGAGCAGCCUGGGGAGAGGAAACAGACUACACUCCCGUUUGGUGCAUGCGCCAGGCAGGCCGUUACUUACCAGAGUUUAGGGAAACCCGGGCUGCCCAGGACUUUUUCAGCACGUGUCGCUCUCCUGAGGCCUGCUGUGAACUGACUCUGCAGCCACUGCGUCGCUUCCCUCUGGAUGCUGCCAUCAUUUUCUCCGACAUCCUUGUUGUACCCCAGAUGUUUUCUCCCCCUCCAGGCACUGGGCAUGGAGGUGACCAUGGUACCUGGCAAAGGACCCAGCUUCCCAGAGCCAUUAAGAGAAGAGCAGGACCUAGAACGCCUACGGGAUCCAGAAGUGGUAGCCUCUGAGCUAGGCUAUGUGUUCCAAGCCAUCACCCUUACCCGACAACGACUGGCUGGACGUGUGCCGCUGAUUGGCUUUGCUGGUGCCCCAUGGACCCUGAUGACAUACAUGGUUGAGGGUGGUGGCUCAAGCACCAUGGCUCAGGCCAAGCGCUGGCUCUAUCAGAGACCUCAGGCUAGUCACCAGCUGCUUCGCAUCCUCACUGAUGCUCUGGUCCCAUAUCUGGUAGGACAAGUGGUGGCUGGUGCCCAGGCAUUGCAGCUGUUUGAGUCCCAUGCAGGGCAUCUUGGCCCACAGCUCUUCAACAAGUUUGCACUGCCUUACAUCCGUGAUGUGGCCAAGCAAGUGAAGGCCAGGUUGCGGGAGGCAGGCCUGGCACCAGUGCCCAUGAUCAUCUUUGCUAAGGAUGGGCAUUUUGCCCUGGAGGAGCUGGCCCAAGCUGGCUAUGAGGUGGUUGGGCUUGACUGGACAGUGGCCCCAAAGAAAGCCCGGGAGUGUGUGGGGAAGACGGUGACAUUGCAGGGCAACCUGGACCCCUGUGCCUUGUAUGCAUCUGAGGAGGAGAUCGGGCAGUUGGUGAAGCAGAUGCUGGAUGACUUUGGACCACAUCGCUACAUUGCCAACCUGGGCCAUGGGCUUUAUCCUGACAUGGACCCAGAACAUGUGGGCGCCUUUGUGGAUGCUGUGCAUAAACACUCACGUCUGCUUCGACAGAACUGAGUGUAUACCUUUACCCUCAAGUACCACUAACACAGAUGAUUGAUCGUUUCCAGGACAAUAAAAGUUUCGGAGUUGAA
RNA transcript from Homo sapiens (human), 1262 nucleotides. It is a transcript of the gene named uroporphyrinogen decarboxylase, with no coding region annotated. Lineage: Eukaryota; Metazoa; Chordata; Mammalia; Primates; Hominidae. The record is from RefSeq and is marked reviewed. The transcript has 10 exons.